GUGGCGAACGGGUGAGUAACACGUGGGUGAUCUGCCCUGCACUUCGGGAUAAGCUUGGGAAACUGGGUCUAAUACCGGAUAGGAACCAUCUUUAGNUGUGGUGGUUGGAAAGUUUUUUCGGUGUAGGAUGAGCUCGCGGCCUAUCAGCUUGUUGGUGGGGUAAUGGCCUACCAAGGCGGCGACGGGUAGCCGGCCUGAGAGGGUGUACGGCCACAUUGGGACUGAGAUACGGCCCAGACUCCUACGGGAGGCAGCAGUGGGGAAUAUUGCACAAUGGGCGCAAGCCUGAUGCAGCGGCGCCGCGUGGGGGAUGAAGGCCUUCGGGUUGUAAACUCCUUUCGCUAGGGACGAAGCUUUUUUGUGACGGUACCUAGAUAAGAAGCACCGGCUAACUACGUGCCAGCAGCCGCGGUAAUACGUAGGGUGCGAGCGUUGUCCGGAAUUACUGGGCGUAAAGGGCUCGUAGGUGGUUUGUCGCGUCGUCUGUGAAAUUCUGGGGCUUAACUCCGGGCGUGCAGGCGAUACGGGCAUAACUUGAGUGCUGUAGGGGUAACUGGAAUUCCUGGUGUAGCGGUGAAAUGCGCAGAUAUCAGGAGGAACACCGAUGGCGAAGGCAGGUUACUGGGCAGUUACUGACGCUGAGGAGCGAAAGCAUGGGUAGCGAACAGGAUUAGAUACCCUGGUAGUCCAUGCCGUAAACGGUGGGCGCUAGGUGUGAGGGUCUUUCUACGACUUUCGUGCCGUAGCUAACGCAUUAAGCGCCCCGCCUGGGGAGUACGGCCGCAAGGCUA
RNAcentral lists this ribosomal RNA (791 nucleotides) under uncultured Actinomycetes bacterium. RNAcentral's name for it is "bacterial SSU rRNA". It matches the Rfam family "Bacterial small subunit ribosomal RNA", at positions 95 to 896 of the family's 1533-position model. Lineage: Bacteria; Bacillati; Actinomycetota; Actinomycetes. The record is from RNAcentral.